Drosophila melanogaster (fruit fly) is the source of this 460-nucleotide non-coding RNA. NCBI's taxonomy places the organism in Eukaryota, Metazoa, Arthropoda, Insecta, Diptera, Drosophilidae. The record is from Ensembl.
ACAGACUCCGUCUUCGACCUUUCGUAGACAAAGCAGAGCCGCAACUGGCGGCAAUAACCACGCGACAAGAACGGCGCUCGUCGACGGUGACGCUGUCGCUGCUGAGACUCGUUAAUGUUGCUGAUACCAUGGCCAUAGCCAUAGCCAUAGCCAUAGGUUGCCAGUUGCGAGUUGGUGUGGCCGUUGCUGUUGCUGUUGUUGCCGCAUUGGAUUCUGUUCCUCUGUUCCUGCUGGUGCUUCUGCUUCUGCCGCUGCCACUGCCACUGCGAUGUUGUAAAAGUUUUGCGCACAAAUCAGCAGCACAGCCAAAGGAUACGCAAAGUGGAUGAAUAACAGCGGCAACAACAUCACCACACUGAGCGAUCAAACAUUCAAACGGAAAUGUAUUUGCUUAAAUGGAACACAUUAUUAUUAAACAUAAGCAUGAUUGAGAAAAUAAUUACAUAGAAAUACGCCUUUU